GACGAACGCUGGCGGCGUGCCUAAUACAUGCAAGUAGAACGCUGAAGGAGGAGCUUGCUUCUCUGGAUGAGUUGCGAACGGGUGAGUAACGCGUAGGUAACCUGCCUGGUAGCGGGGGAUAACUAUUGGAAACGAUAGCUAAUACCGCAUAAGAGUAGAUGCCGCAUGACAUUUGCUUAAAAGGUGCAAUUGCAUCACUACCAGAUGGACCUGCGUUGUAUUAGCUAGUUGGUGAGGUAACGGCUCACCAAGGCAACGAUACAUAGCCGACCUGAGAGGGUGAUCGGCCACACUGGGACUGAGACACGGCCCAGACUCCUACGGGAGGCAGCAGUAGGGAAUCUUCGGCAAUGGACGGAAGUCUGACCGAGCAACGCCGCGUGAGUGAAGAAGGUUUUCGGAUCGUAAAGCUCUGUUGUAAGAGAAGAACGAGUGUGAGAGUGGAAAGUUCACACUGUGACGGUAUCUUACCAGAAAGGGACGGCUAACUACGUG
Molecule: ribosomal RNA, 495 nt
Filed under: uncultured bacterium
Lineage: Bacteria
Description: partial 16S ribosomal RNA
Rfam family: Bacterial small subunit ribosomal RNA
Source: RNAcentral